GUUGGGGAUCCUUCCUACUUUGUACUAGUGUUACUUCACAUUCGGUAUAGAGUGGAAACCCAGCUCCAGAAAAUAAUUCUUGAUUUACAAAGAAGGAUUUGAUCAAAUUCAUUUCAAGAAAUGAAGACGUCAACUUUGGGAGGGAUUUUUCUCCUCAUAUUUUGCAUUAUUGCUUCUCAACCCACCGUUUCUGGGCAGGAUUGCUUCGAAGCUUGGAGUCGUUGCACGGGUUGGAGCAGUGGAGGAACGGGAAUUUUGUGGAAGAGUUGUGCAGGCCGGUGUCGAUUAUGCCAGGGACGUGCCACAGGGGCAUGUGUUCCUGUGAAUGGGCCGUGUGGAGCAAGGUCACAAUGCCAAUGCUCAGGUGGGAAUGUUCCUAAAAGUACCAAUUAUUUGGAUAGGAUUACCUGUCGAUUUGGUCUGUAGGAUGUGUCUAACCGUUUGCUCCGGUUUAAAUUGGUUUUAUGAAACAAUAAAGAAGGAAAGGUUAGCCUUAACGAAGGUGUGGAAUAGUUUUGUAAAAAAAAUGCGAAAAGCUCAAAAAUUUAUGUACGUUGCAAUUGUUCAUUUAUGUAAUUUGAACGUUAAUAUUUAUUUUGAACAAAUUUUUAUUGAAAUUUUGUAAAACUCAAAAAAAGCAUGAAAAGAUUUGUUUGAACGUUUCGAAUUUGGUAAAAUUUCAAAAUUCGGAUUUACGGUAACAACCAAAUUAUCAAAUAAUCUGAAUGAAAUUAUUGUAAUUUCGUAUUAAAUAAAAUAUUUGCAUUUUUGUG
Folsomia candida is the source of this 773-nucleotide long non-coding RNA. RefSeq lists it as uncharacterized. Lineage: Eukaryota; Metazoa; Arthropoda; Collembola; Entomobryomorpha; Isotomidae. The record is from RefSeq and is a predicted model, not a curated record. The transcript is spliced from 3 exons.